Molecule: long non-coding RNA, 242 nt
Filed under: Ananas comosus (pineapple)
Lineage: Eukaryota; Viridiplantae; Streptophyta; Magnoliopsida; Poales; Bromeliaceae
Description: long non-coding RNA (ACOM_LNC016906)
Source: RNAcentral
GUGAAAAACCCACGAGACCGAUCACGCAAAGAAAAUCCACUAAGAAAACUUGAAUACAAGUAAUUUCGACAAAAACACACGACUCAAUUUACCGAUUUCUCGUCGAUGAUGAUCUUUGCCGGUCCUCGAUCGAUAGGAAUCCACCAAUCGACCUUGCUGCAACUCCUCGCAGCGUCAGCGCCUCAACUCCUCGAAGCAUCCACCGAAUCCUCGGCUUCACGCGAGAUCCACGCGCCGAACCU